Molecule: RNA transcript, 12412 nt
Organism: Dunckerocampus dactyliophorus (ringed pipefish)
Lineage: Eukaryota; Metazoa; Chordata; Actinopteri; Syngnathiformes; Syngnathidae
Gene: tmtc4
Gene name: transmembrane O-mannosyltransferase targeting cadherins 4
Exons: 25
Source: RefSeq, a predicted model, not a curated record
CGCAACUCAUACAGGAAGUAGCUCACGCAGAAGCGUGGCUAUUUGUUUACAUCCGACCUCGGCCGGGAAUUCACUUUGCCGUUCCAACUGUUCAUUUUCUUUGAAAGAAAAACCUUUUUUUAAUACAUUCCCCGAAACAUCGACUGAUCAAUGUGCGUCGGCUGUGUGGACGGCUUAAAUAAUUAGCCUCCGACGAAACAUGCUAAUGCUAAAUAGCACGGUACUACUAGCAUCUUGCUACCAAAGAAGCUAACACAAGAACCUGUCAUAAGCGACACAAGGACUGGGACCUGGACGAUGUUAAGGAGUCAGUCACGUCCUAUUGCACCAUGGCAUUGUCUGAGGUUCACUGGGAUAAGGAUGUCCCCCUCCCUAGGCUGGGUCCAGUCCAGGCUAAAGUCACCGUGGGCCUGGUGGCACUUCUGUGCUUCAUCAACAGUUAUGAUGGGGAAUUUGUGUUUGACGAUUCAGAAGCCAUCGUCAACAACAAGGAUUUGAGAGCAACAACGCCAUGGAACAACAUCUGGAGCAAUGACUUCUGGGGAAGCAACCUGAGCAGCAACUCCAGUCACAAAUCCUACAGACCACUCACUGUCUUUACAUUCAGGUUGAACUACAUAUUAGCGGGCGGCCUGCACCCUGUUGGCUUCCACGUGCUGAACAUCCUCCUUCAUGCUGUCAUAUCUGUUCUCAUGGUGGACAUGUUUGCCCUGCUCAUAGGCGGAAUGGCUAACGAUGAGCACGGUUACAUCCUAAAUCGUGCUCCCAAGACCUCCCUGCUGGCCGCGCUCCUCUUCGCCGCACACCCGGUCCAUACGGAAAGUGUGGCGGGUAUCGUGGGUCGAGCAGAUCUGCUAUGCGCCCUGUUUUUCCAACUUUCCUUCCUCUCCUACUGCAAAGCCUUCAACACAGGUGUGGACAAAGAUGCCGGCUUCUCCACGCGGUGGAUUGUGGUCAGCCUCUCGCUGUGUGCCGCUGCCAUGCUUUGUAAAGAGCAAGGCAUCACCGUCUUGGGUGUAAACGCAGCUUUUGACGUCCUCGUCAUCUGUAAUGUUGAUGUGUAUGAACUGAGCCAGAGGCUACUCCUCAGGAAGACCCCUCUUAAUGCACGCGAAAUGAUGCGGACCGGCCUGCUGACGCGAUUGGCCCUGGUGGCUCUGGGCGGCGUCCUCAUGCUCUACGCCCGCUGGAGGAUCAUGGGAACUGGGCCACCGGCGUUCACUGAAGUGGACAACCCCGCCUCGUUUGCGGAGAGCGUGUUUCUCAGAGUGGUCAACUAUAAUUACUACUACACCCUGAAUGGCUGGCUGCUGCUGUGUCCCUGGUGGCUGUGCUUCGAUUGGUCCAUGGGCUGCGUGCCGCUCAUUAAGGCCACCGCCGAUUGGAGGGUGUUGUGGCCACUGCUGCUCUGGUGCAUCCUGAUAGGCUUGGUAGGCCAAGCCUUGUUCUCGCCCGACGGGCAGCAGAGGAGGACUCUGAGUUUGUCCCUCGUGCUGCUGGUGGUCCCCUUUCUGCCGGCCUGCAACAUUUUUUUCCGGGUGGGCUUUGUCAUUGCCGAGCGAGUGCUCUACCUGCCCUCAUCUGGCUACUGCCUCCUGCUCGCCUGUGCCUUGGGACACUGCUGCCGCCGCUGGGCCAAGUACAAGAAGCUGCUGAGUCUCUUCGUGCUGGCGUUGUUGUUCACUUUUGUAGCUCGCUGUGCUCUCCGCAGUCACCAGUGGCGGUCCGAGCAAAGCCUCUUCACCAGUGCGCUAGCCAUCUGCCCCCUUAAUGCCAAGGUCCAUUACAAUGUGGGGAAGAACCUGGCCGACAGAGGCAACACCACAGCUGCCAUUAGCUACUACAGAGAGGCCGUAAGGCUCCAUCCCACCUAUGUGCACGCCAUGAACAACCUGGGCAACAUCCUAAAGGAAAGGAAUGAGCUGACAGAGGCUGAGCAGCUGCUGUCCAAAGCCGUUUCCAUCCAACCGGAUUUUGCUGCCGCUUGGAUGAAUCUGGGCAUCGUGCAGAACAGCCUGAGCAAGUUUGAACAAGCGGAGAAGAGCUACUGGAACGCCAUCCGCUUCCGGAAGAAGUACCCAGACUGCUACUACAAUUUGGGACGCCUGUAUGCAGACCAGCAAAGACACGUGGAUGCUCUGAACGCAUGGAGGAAUGCAACAGUGCUUAAACCUGAUCACAGCCUGGCGUGGAACAACAUGGUCAUACUACUAGAUAACAUUGGUAACUUGGGUCAGGCGGAACUGAUUGGCCGAGAGGCUCUGAAGCUUCUCCCGAAGGACCACACCAUAAUGUUCUCGCUGGCCAACGUGCUGGGAAAGCUGGAGAAGUACAAGGAGUCAGAGGGCUUCUUCCUCCAAGCACUCCAGAUCAACCCAAAUGCGGCUGGUUGCCAUGGCAAUUUAGCCGUGCUGUACCAUCGCUGGGGGAAGCUGGAGCUGGCACAGAAGCACUACGAGCUGUCUCUUAAGUUGGACCCCCAGGCCCCGGGGACGAGAGACAACUACAACAUGCUGCGUCGCAAACUGGACCAGCGCAAACGCCACACGCCCUAAGGCAUGGGUGCCAGUCAGCUGAUUCCCAGCGGCCCCCGCUACACUGCAAGAUGAUGUGUAGCUAAAGGAUGGUGGGGUGACGGUCUCGGGCCGACGCCUCCAGAGGCAGACAGCAGCUGUGUGGGAGACAAGUGAGGCUCAUGUGCGGGAGACUCCAGAAGACGGUCCAGAACAUGGAUACUGCAAGGAGAGAAUGACGCCACAUGGUACCUACUCACUCGGCGACAUCUACACUCACUAUCAAUGCUUUUCCUUUGGCAAACCAGUUUGCCUGUAUCUCCGUUCCAACCUGCUGAUGACACGCCGUGACACUCUCAGCUCAGUGGCCACUUUCCUCUGAAAACAUCCUGUUUGAAGCGCGUCAAUGGCUAAAUCCAGUCGAGGUGGAUUCACAUGGAACAUGGGGGCGCUUGCUUUCUUCUACUUCUUCUACUGCACCCCUUUUUUCUCGCACCAUUCAGAAAAUUGACCAACAUUGGUGGGUGCGAGAAAAUGUCAAGGAACAGCAAGUACAGUGGAAGAGAAGGCUUGUCCCCCACAAGCAUGGAGGGACAAGUUGGACAAAGCAACUUUCAGAUGCCACCACAGAAACUUCGGUGCCAAAAGAAGGGAGGUGGAGGGCGAUCAAGCAUGGUAUCUUUUUCAAUUUUCAGUUCAAUCCCUUUUUUGGUGAGUAUUCCAUGUUAAACUUAAAGGAACAGUUAGUAAUAAUAUUUUUUAUUGUGUUCUAGCCUCACUUAGUCUCCUAUACUUUUAAGCCUUUGUAAUGAGACAUGCUUCAUAAUGUGUUUGCAUUAUGGCCUUUUACAGGUGUUACAGGAACUAAUAUUGAAACCACCGUAAGGAAAAAUGUUGUUGGCAAAGUAAAGAAGCCAACUUAAUGCAACAUUGCACAGUAAUGUUGCAGAAUAGAUUGCUAAAAAAUGCAAGGGACUGAAUUAACAACAAUAAGGUAGAAUGUCAUCACCUCAAAGCGAAGUUUGAACAAGCUCUCACGCAAGAGCAAACAGUAACAUAGCACAAUGUAUGAUGACAAAUGUAUGCAUGUGUUAUUCAAUUGUUUAAAUAUGGUUCAUAUGUUUACUCAAGAAAUGUGUUUUUAAAGCAACAGUAAGGAAUAAUUUAUGUCGAUGGUAUGUAACGUCAAUUUAACAUUGUCUGAUCAUUUCAGUGUGUGUGUGUGUGUGUGUGUGGCAAGAUGUGUAUAAGCACUGCGCCGGCAUCAACAAAGAUGCUUUUCUCUUCCUCACAAGGAAGUGUAGCAUCAGCAUAAUUUUGAGGUCCAUUUGUUAUGUUUUUUUUUUUUUUGCUUUAAUGGAAUAAGUUACUUCUGUAUAUGAACUUACUGCAUGCUAGUGAUCAAGAUUUGACUCUAACCACCUAGGCGAGGUCAAGCAGGUGUCAGGCAGGCAGUGGAACCUUGGUCCCAUUCAUUUGUCAGAGGUGGUCCUCACCUGUCCUCACCCCCCCCUCCCCCGAGGAGCAUUAAGGGGUAAAAAGGAUAAAAAGCAAAGCAGAAUUUGACAAUUAGCUGGUCUUGCUUUCAUUUCCCUGCUCAUUUAAGCACGACCAUCUUCAGUCCAAUUUCCAUAAAAGUGUUUUUUGAGAUAUGCUCUAAUAAAACACUCGGUCUUUUCGCAGUAGACGGGCGACACCCCUGUUUCAAACCUUUCACGGAACCCCUGCUGGGUGUAUUGAUAAGCAGCACUGAACCCUGCGGUCAGUGUUUAAUUGCAUUAUUUGGAGUCUUCUAGUCACCCUCCUCUCGCCUUCUGGAUGGGAGGAGAGAACAAGUGUUUACUGAUAAAGUGAGGCCGACAUGGGGGGGGGGGUGUUGUGGGAGUUCUGAGUACGAUAUUGAUGGGUAAUCAAUUUAAAGCAUCAUGUUGAAGAACCCAUCAUUUUAAAAGAAGAAAUAAUAAAUAUAACAAAUAAUUGCUAAUGCUGAAUAGAAAUGAAUGAAUACAUAAAAUACUGUAGACAGUAAAUAACGUAUAUUUUGGCAAUACAGUGGAACCUUGGUUUUUGUCAUUAAUGCAAUUUCAAAAGGUCUUACGAAAACUGAAACGUUUGCAAACCGAGGACAUUUUUAAUGUUAAUCCAAUUAAUUCAUUAAAAACACCCAAAAAUAUUAAGAAAAAAAAGUUUUAUAGAUAAUGAUGAUACUUUUACAUGCAGAAAUCAAUGCAAAAUAAUUCUAAAUAAUAAUUGAAAUUGAUAAAUGAACAUUUGACAUGAUCACUUUUACCUUUAUUGACGGCCAGCAGCCACGUGGAGCGGAGAUGCAGGAAGGGAAAGGAGGGGAUCCACACUGGACUUAACUUCACGUGAAUUCCACCAACAACAACUUCUCAAUCGUGUUAUAUCCAAGAAUGCAUGCCCUAGAACUGUGCAGUCACAUGCAUUCACGGUAAACAAAAAUGACAUGUGCAGCCAGGGACCACAAGCUGGAUGUAAACAAACCUUUUACAGAAGCUUCUGUGGCUUUACCAGGGUGCAUGUAAAAGUCACAGCUGUUUUAUCAGUGUAAAACAAGGUGGAGGUGACCAGCCAUUUUGGCCGAGUAGCCAUUGGAGUUAACCCGCUGCUAGCUGUGUGUAAUCAGUCAACAUUUGUCUCGUCAGUCGAGUUGGCAGAAGAGUAAAAGUGGUCUCCAGCACCAAAUGAAAGCCAGACACUUGACAAAGCAAAUGCUGAUUCACCAGCAGCAAGACAAAAACAAUCAGCCAGGUAGCAAAGAUGAUGAUGACAGACAGGCGACAGCUAGCAGGUAAGUUGUUAAGCCGCCAGGUGUACUUUUAAAAACUCAUGCAGCAAAACCAGAGUUUAGUUAGAUAAAAUUUAGGUAUAGGUUACACUAGAACUCACCUUAGGAACGGAACUCAUACGUACAGUAUACUGAGGACCUGCUGUAAGUAUGAUGAAUAAUAAGAUUGGUUGCAUUGCUAUUCAAUUGGCAGCCUAUUGCUGCUUUGCAGCAUGAAGGGCAGCCAUUGCUCUGCAAGCAGGCUGAUCAUUUCAAGAUUUGGCUUAAUGACUGACAGGCUAGCGGAGGAAACAAUUGCAAGUGUUUUAAAGAGGCCACGUCCACUUACGCAGAGAUGAAUGCGUCAUAGUCAGCUUGACAAUUACUCCUGCUGUUUUCUUCAGAUGUCAUCAUUGUCUUCAAGUGCUCACGGCUCCAUCUUCUAUCAAAGAGGGAUAAUGAGCAACUGUUUGCUUCGUCUGCAGGUGGACAAAUGGACCACUCAGUCAUUGGCAGUGGUAUCCAAGCACUCAAUAGUGUAGUGCACAGAAAAGUUGUUGAUUUUUUUGAGUCCAUGAACAUUGAAGGAUUUGAAAACGUUCGCCUGUGCAGGCUCUUAGACAUGGAAGCUACAAGUUGGUCUCCUCCCGCCAGUUAUAAAAAUAAUAUUAACAGCCAAAGGUGCAUAAAGGUGCAUGAUGGAAACACAAACUGAAAUACUAAAAAUUCUCAGGGCGCUGAAUCGAUUGCAACUGGACUGUUUAGUUACAAUGACCUGGAUGAAACAAAUACGACAAAUAAUUUGUGCUUUCAUAUGCACAAGCAUAUGAGCGCGACAGAAUAGAAAUAAAUCGAAUUGAAGAAUAGAAUAGAUCUAAUCCACAAACUCAAAGCACACAGUGAGCAAGAGCAAAUUCACAAAGUAGUCCAAUCACAUAAUCAGUUUGACCACUCGUCCUAUUUCUUAGCUGUGAAAACUGUGUUACCUUGGAUAACAGAAAUAAAAACUAGAAAUAAUCCAUAAAAUCAAAGCGAGUUGUUUACCUUUUAUAUUACUUGUGUUUCUGGCAUUCAUUGUGGAAAGCAAAGGAAGAAUUUAAUUGUACGAUGAAACUUGUAUCCUUGCUGUGCAUAUAUAAUAAACAAUAUCCUAUCCUAGUCAAGUCAUAUAAUUAUGGUGACUGCUUGUCCUGUUAGUUAUUGAUAACCAAUAUGAUAACCACCACAGCUGCCUAAUAGAAAAAACGAAAGAAUAGAAAUAAUCCUCAAAGUCAAAACCCAAGGUGCACUCACUCAUGCAAAAGCACAUUCACAAUGUAGCCUAUCCUGAUCAUUCAUGCGCUCCUCCCACCAGUUAUUAAUGAUAGCAGCCGCCUUGCACAUUAGCAACAGCAACUAAAAUGAUACAUGAAGUCAGGAAAGUUGCAGUAAUACAGCGCUGUGUAAUGAAGUGAUGGCAUGUCCUGGGAUUGGCACAGAAUGAGCCACCUUGCGUGAAGCCACCUUGUGCUGGCGCGCUCGGUUCCGCUUGGUUCCACUCAAAGAGAGUGGAGGCAUGUUAACACACACAAGCAUACGCUAAUUAAAAAUCCACACACCGCUGCCACAAUCAAUAUGCUUCAUUAAUUUGUCUACACAUCACCAUUGAACAUUCAUUUUAAUAUGUAAUGCUGCUUUAAAAAUACUUGCUUCACAUGCUAUGUCAAGAAAAAUAUAUCUACAGAUACAUAUACAGUCAAUCAAUCGCGUAUACAUCAUAAUGAAAUCAUUACAACUUCCUUCCUGUUGCAGCACCUGAUCCAAGAGUUGCAGUGUGAGUGAUAUACAUUUCACCUGUGAUUAAUGUUAAUGCAAUUUUGGAGCUAGCUGUGCAUGCCUCACCACUAACGCGCCCUGAUUAAUUCUCCCCGAGAGUCAGGAACAUGGGAAUAGUUUUCCUCCGGCUCCGGCAAUAACCACGCUGCCCUGCAGAAUUUUCUCACACUUCAGCCAGGCGGGAUUUCUUAAUUCUGCCCCCGCUUCUUUAGAAAGUGUUAAUUUGAUAGGAUUCAAAUCUCACAGGUCGCAAAAAAGGUUGUUAUAGUCCCCAGGAUGUUUUUUCUAUUAAAAGAACACUGCAAAUUUGAAUUGAAUUGAAUUUGAAUUGAAAGUCUCACUUUUAGUUCUGCUGGACCUGAGCACUGGCUUUGACACAGUUGACCAUGUGAUCUUAUUACAGAGGUUAGAAAGCUGGGUGGGAAUCUCUGGUACAGCUCUAAACUGGUUCAUUUCCUAUCUGGAAGACAGAAACUACUUUGUUGGAAUUGGUAACUGUGUCUCAGAGCAAAUGGCUAUGACUUUUGGGGUUCCCCAGGGGUCAAUCCUGGGACCCCUAUUGUUCAAUCUGUACAUGCUUCCUUUAGGCCAACUAAUACGCAACUAUGCAGACGACACUCUAUGUGUCACUGACGGGUCCUGCAGGUUUACUUUGUCACUGCAUCAAACAGAUCUGUGUGUGGAUGCAACACAACUUUCUCCAGCUAAAUUCAACUGAAAUAAUGGUCUUUGGCCCACAAAAACAAAGAGAAAGUGUUAUUAGGCACCUUGAGAUGUUUUCUCUAAUCAUCAGGUUAGAAAUGUAGGGGUAAUAAUGGACUAAGACCUGAACAUUAACAGCCACAUUAAAUCAAUAACAUCAUCAGCUUUUUACCAUCUAAAAAGCAUUGCCAAAAUCAAGGGAAUAGUGCCUAAACCAGAUUUAGAGAGACUAAUCCAUGUCUUUGUUUCCAGCAGACUGUAACGGCCUUCUCACCGGGCUCUCUAAACGAGCAGUAAAACAGCUGCAGUACAUCCAGAAUGCUGCUGCUCGAGUCCUGACUAGAACCAGGAAAUAGGACCAUAUUCGUCCAGUACUCGGGUCUCUGCACUGGCUUCCUGUUGCUCAGAGAAUAGACUUUAAAACAGCUCUGCUUGUGUACAAGUUUUUUGAUGGUCUUGCGCCAAAGUACAUCUCUGACAUGUUAGAGCCACAUAAACCAUCUCGAGUGCCCAGAGUCAGGAUUAAACACGGUGAGGUUUUGUUUCAGUUUAAUGCUACCAAAAUCUGGAACAAUCUUCAGAAGAUGUGUGACAAUCCUCAACUUUGGCAAUGUUCAAAUCCAAGCUGAAAACACUUCUACUCAAAUGUGCAUAUGACAACUGAAAGUAUUUUACCUGCACUCUUCAUCCUUAAUCUUUUUGGUUUCAUUGAAUGAUUUCUGGAAUGUUAUGUAAUGAUUUUAGAAUGAUUUUAUGUUUUUAUGGAAUGGUUUUAUGAAGUGGUUUUACACUUAUUUUCUGUAAAGCACUUUGAAUUACCUUGUGUAUGAAUUGUGCUUGAUAAAUUAACUUCCCUUGCCUUGCCUUAUUGUCUCUCAGAGCCAGCUAGCUUUCCAUCCUCUGAUUGGUUGAUCAGAGCAAAAUUGUUCCAUUCAGCUAAGUCAAGCACUCAAUGGCUGGCCGAGGUGGAAAUUGGCAUCUCUAGUGUGCGAGUAGAUGUAUUUUAUUUAAAAGAUUUAUGACUUUGUCAUUAGAUAAAUAUUUAUUCUGAACUGCCCUUGUUGUAGUGUACAUGUUUUCUUGCCUUGUCUGCGCCCUUAAUCACCGAACCAUUUUAUUUACCUCGUCACACUUGUCUGAGCGCCCUCUUUACAAGCACCGGCGAUCAUCGGUGGAAGUUAGUUCCUAAUGCUCCAAGUUAGUAGCAGAAAUAUCUUCAUCUUCCAAUACAUCUGUGACGAUACCAUACUUGCCUCUGUUUGUCUGGCUGGUUAAGAUUUGCACCCUUCUCAAAAUGAAUCCAAAGACGUUCCAAACACCGACAUGCUGGCUAGCUAGUUAGACUAGAGUAAUCGCCUCUGUUGGUCUGGCUAGUCAAGUUGUCAAGUUGUGCACCCUUCUUGACAUUAACCCAAAGAGUUCCAAACUUCGGCCUUCAAACGCAGGCUAAUUAGCUAGCACUAGCCCUGGCUCAGUAGCGCUGGUGGCCGGCGCGCUGGCCCUGGCUAGCUAACCUGUGCGUUUCGCCGGCAGCCCAGGCUCUUGCGUUGUUUGUAAGGCACUGUCAACCGAUUGCUUCUCUUGCGAUACCCGGUGCAUGUCUCCACAAUCGAUUAAUGUCAUUAUUUUGAUUAUUAUUGAUACAGGAGUCUUUUACCGGCGAAUCGUUAUCGUUCACAUCCCUAAUAAAAGGAUUCGUCCCGAUAGAAUCUGUUGCCGCCUUUUAAUAAGAUGCAGUGAAACUUAGCCCCAUCUUUCAUUUUAUCUUUAAUGCUUCUGUGCAGGAGCAAAGCAGACCUCAGGUAUGGAAGAUGCCACAGUUGUUUCUGUCCCAAAACUGAAUAGCUCAAAGUUGUUCAACGACUUCAGACUGGUGGCCCUUACGUCAACUGCAAUGAAAACAUUAAAAAAAAACUUGUAAGAGCAGAAGUCCUCAAGUCCAACCCAGGGCCUGAUUGACCCCUUACAAUUUGCCUACAGGCCGCAAAGAGGAGUUGAGGAUGCCACAGUCACUUUAUCAAAUUUGGUUUUGCGUCACCUGGAUUGCCAGGAUUUUAUUUGUGGAUUUUAGCUCAGCUUUUAACACCAUCCAGCCCCAGAUUACCGACUCUUAAAUGAUUUUAAUUUGAGCAAGAAUCUUGUGGGCUGGAUUCUGAACUUUUUAACUAACAGGACACAGAGAACAAGGGUCAGUAGAGUCUGACCUUGUCUGUAGUUCUACUGGUUCACCACAGGGGUGUGUCCUAUCGCCUUUACCUUUAACAACAACAAAAGUGCACUUCUUUCACUACCUCCUCUACAAAAAUGUCAAUUAGGAUAAUCCACAACGUGUUUAUGGAGAACACACAAGCCUUUUGUUCACUGAAUCAGAAUUACUGAAAUUCAGCAAUCUAUACAACAGCUAAAAUUAUACACAAAGCAAACAACAACCUGCUCGCCUAUAAUGUACAACAAUUCUUCUCGACAAGAGAGGAGAAAUACGACCUAAGGGAAAAGUGUGGGGUUAAAUUAUGGAAUGGACUGAGUAAAAAAUGUCAACAAUGUAUUAAUAUGAGCCAUUCCAAGCAUUUGAUGUUUACAAAGUAUAAAAAAAAACGAAGAAAGCUGAACCACAGUGUCUGAUAUCAUUACUGCUAUUGCUUCCGUUUAUUAAUUAAAAAGACACAAACUAACUUAUCACCUGUUAUUGAUUUUUUAUGAUUACUUUUUUUUUAUUAUUAUUAUUAUUAUUAUUACUCCUGAGAUUUUGUUUUUUUGGCGGAUUAGUAAAAAGUUGCAUCGAAAUGGGAACAGAUCACUUGAGUGAAAAUGAUGUAAUAUGCCAGGCACACCUAUGUGUGGCACUGUGAACAGACGCGCAGACUGAACCAAACAACAGAAGAAGAAAGAAUGCGUGCACAUACAUUAAGUAUGUCAUCUUCCGCUUUCCAAGGCUCAUCUAGACUUACAAGAAGUGGAAUUACUUCUUCCAGUCAUUAUGGAGUAUAAGACAACAAAAUAUCAAGAGAAUGUCGACUGGGGUGAGUCAUGCCAGUCCAAAUAUUCAGAUAUUAUGUUGGCUUGACGUCAAAGCUCACUUCUGGUCACGUGAACAUGAAAAACAACAAGCCAGCGUUUUCAGACUUUCCCACUCUGGAAGCUGUUUUCAAAAAAUACUGUUUCAGGGCACCCAGAACACAGUCUCCGUGUGGAUGAGAGGCUGAAAAUGAUAAAAUACUUGGCCAUUUUGACCUGUGAAAACAUUUCUGUGUGGACAGACCCUUAAAAAGCCAAACAUGAUCUAAUUAAGGGGUUCACGUGUGUUUAAAAGCUACUUUUACAUCAAUUUAUUCAAUAAUUUGUUUUUUUAGGGCAUAUAAACGUACUGACUACUGUUGUCAAAACGUACUUCUUACACCCUCAAGCUCAGUCCUUGCUAGAAGGAGCAUUGCAGCGUUUGUCCGCUCCUUUUUUACGGGGAAGCACAAGAAGAGACUUGAAUGUGACCUCCUAAGGCCUCCUUAUUCACACCACAACAACAACAACAACACACAAACUUUACUUAACCUUGAAAAGAAAACGAAACAGCAAAAUCCAAUUAGGCUCAUUUAAAACACUCCCAGUGAGAAAUGUUUAUCCUUUUGGUUAAGAGAUAAUGCAUUUAAGUCCCUGUACACACGGAAACGUUCAAGGGGUUUUCUUUCGGUGAGUUGAAAAAACUGUGCCGGAUUAGUAAAUAGUUCCAUCCAGACUGUCACACCUUGACGAUUUAGGCAGCGCAUGCCUGACGUGAUCAUUUUGAUGGCAUACGUUGAACUGCCGACGUUUUUUUUUUUUUAAUUUUGGGCGUAUACAUAGCGUAUUCAUAACAAGGUCGACGUAAACAUGACGUAUGAGUAACUUAUAUAGAACGUUUCUAUAACUUAUAGACAACUUAUAUCAACGAAUGCGUAGUGUGUUGCCGGUGUUCAUAAUUUAUGCCCAACGCCUGUCACACCUUGACGAUUUAGCCAGCUUACGGCAACGUAUGAAAAAAUGGGCCAAUACGCUGGCGUACGUCCAAUAAGUUAUGGGUAAGUUUUGUAUAAGUUAAGAGCACGCUGAAGCACGCCGGCAUACGUCAUAGUAUGUCCAAGUCAUCCAAAAAUGUUGUGCAUGCACAAAACAUUUCGACAUAUGUCAACAUAUGAUUAAUACGUCCCGCAUCCGCGGGCAAUUAGUUAUGCGAUCGUUGACGCCCGUUCACACACGUUAUUUGUAAGUUACGUACAAGUCAAAAUACGUCAACAUACCUUGAGACAGAACUGUCUUCUUGGCGAGUGAAGAUGGAGAGGAGGAGAGGCUGUCGUGUUUGUAUUUGCAGGUAAGUUUGCAGCUUGACCAGUAGAGGGCACUGUGACACUGGGAAUGGAACCAACUUUUGAUUUUUUUAUCAACUUUAUUAAUGCAUUAGCGAGCCACAAAUCAAUGAGUGGUAGCGUAUGCAGCCUACACCAGGGGUCUGAGACCCGCGGCCCCCGGGACGAUAGUUUGCGGCCCCGUCUUAAUAUGAAAAAUUUAUAUUCGUGUGGCCCGCAACUUUGAUAUGAAUGACACUUGUCGUGUGCGGAGCUGA